GUGGGGAAUUUUGGACAAUGGGCGCAAGCCUGAUCCAGCAAUGCCGCGUGCAGGAAGAAGGCCUUCGGGUUGUAAACUGCUUUUGUACGGAAUGAAACGGUCCUGGUUAAUACCCGGGGCUAAUGACGGUACCGUAAGAAUAAGCACCGGCUAACUACGUGCCAGCAGCCGCGGUAAUACGUAGGGUGCAAGCGUUAAUCGGAAUUACUGGGCGUAACGCGUGCGCAGGCGGUGCUGUAAGACAGGCGUGAAAUCCCCGGGCUCAACCUGGGAAUUGCGCUUGUGACUGCAAGGCUGGAGUGCGGCAGAGGGGGAUGGAAGUCCGCGUGUAGCAGUGAAAUGCGUAGAUAUGCGGAGGAACACCGAUGGCGAAGGCCAUCCCCUGGGCCUGCACUGACGCUCAUGCACGAAAGCGUGGGGAGCAAACAGGAUUAGAAACCCCUGUAGUCC
Molecule: ribosomal RNA, 450 nt
Filed under: uncultured bacterium
Lineage: Bacteria
Description: partial 16S ribosomal RNA
Rfam family: Bacterial small subunit ribosomal RNA
Source: RNAcentral